AGUUUUGCAGGUUUGCAUCCCAGCGUAUACAAAUUGCUGUGCAAAUCCAUGCAAAACUGA
Molecule: microRNA precursor, 60 nt
Filed under: Ornithorhynchus anatinus (platypus)
Lineage: Eukaryota; Metazoa; Chordata; Mammalia; Monotremata; Ornithorhynchidae
Description: Oan-Mir-19-P2c_pre stem-loop
Rfam family: mir-19 microRNA precursor family
About the family: The hairpin precursors (represented here) are predicted based on base pairing and cross-species conservation -- their extents are not known.
Source: RNAcentral